RNAcentral lists this long non-coding RNA (925 nucleotides) under Panax ginseng (ginseng). Its description in RNAcentral is "long non-coding RNA (PGIN_LNC011673)". The record is from RNAcentral. Lineage: Eukaryota; Viridiplantae; Streptophyta; Magnoliopsida; Apiales; Araliaceae.
AACGUGAAGCCCCAGCAGGGGAUUACAACAUACAUUUAAGCUGUUGACACACAUAUCAACGAAGGUCAAGCAGGCUUGACGUUAUCUCAGCCGAUAGCGAUUAAACCUAUCAGAGCUCUAGAGCUAUUCGAGGAUUUCAUGCUCGAUUGCUCAUAUUUUCCCAGCGGAUCCCCGGUGGGAGUCACAACGCAAUGCUCCGUUGAUCUACAUGAGAACGGAGGUCAAGCAACCUUGACAAUCUACCCAUAGAGUAUCAGCCAUUGAUUCACUCAUCAGCGAAGGUCAAGCAGCCUUGACAGUAUAUCCCACAGGAUUUUUCAGGCGUUGAUUCAAAUGUCAGUGAAGUACACGUCAACGAAGGUCAGACUUCCCUGACAGCAUUCGAUGUUGGCAGUAAAUCCAACAGAAUGUUGACAUAUUCUGGCUAUACUAACCAGGAAAGGUCAAUGUUAUAAAAGAGGAUAGAUGAUGGAAUAUGUUAUACACAUCCUCAAACAGUCCCAGCUUUAUCCCCACAGAUCUCUUACACAUAAGAGAUACAUCUUUAGGAUCAAGUCAUAAUCGAAGACAAAGGGAUUUGGUGAUAACUCCAACAUCAACAUCGUAACAGAUUCGGAUUAUACAUCAAAUCUGGUCAUCAUUGUCAAUCCCUAGUUGAAGCAACAGGGAGCCAUCAAUCAUCCCCAACAUGUUAGGCUACAACCCCGUACACAUUCAUCAUACAGUUGCAUCAUGUUGCUACCCAUAGUACCAUGUUUGUCUUGUUGCAUUUCAAGUGUCUAGGAUUCUUUAUCUUAUCCAUGCAUCGCCAUGCAUGAGUAUGAUAAAGAGGGGCAUCUGUAGACACUCGAAAUUUUCUGUAUACCUAUCACUAACAUUGCAGGAGGACAGAUUUGUCUUUUAAGAGGGAACCCUAAAAGACAAU